GCAGUAUGCUCUUAGGUUCCCUGUUUGACCUCACUUAACUUUGCCAGCUUUGUGGGCUGCUGUACUGCUGCUCAGAGAACAAUUGGAAACUCCUGGAAUAGAUGCCUCAUGUCUCAUUGCCUUUGCCAGGCUUAGGACACUAGUGGGAGUGGGUUUGAUGGGACAUUAACAAAACCAGGGCUUCUUGUGAACCAUCUGAAUGCAGCACCAUGUUCCAGGACAGCUCUGUAUGAACUUCUCAUAUCCAGGAAAUGGAGCAAGAGGAAAGCCAAGCAGAAGGCAUCCAUUUCCAGCACCCUCAACACCUUUUCACAGGACGGGGCUAUUUCACAGGGAGAAUGGCGAUCAAGGAGAGACAAGACCAAGGCAGAAGGAAUCUGCCAUCCCUUCUUGUAAAAACAGAAGAAUGAAAUCAUUCUGGGGAAGGCACAUGUCUGCUGGGAAAACAUCAUUCCAAAAUUGCAACAUCACUAAUCAUAUGAAGAAUAUGAAUAAACUAGAUGAUAUGAAAUUUUAUAUCAGGAAGAUAAAUGCUGAGAGGUUAGAACUUUUUCGAAUCUUGGACAUUGACUUGAAUACUGAUUUGAACUACAGGAUGAACACUGAAUUCACCAUCAUUAAAUCACAACAUGAGAAGACAAUGUUGGAUAUGGAAAAAAUGACGCAGUCAAUAAGUGAUACCAUUGAGAAGUACAAGGAAUUCAUAGAAGAUAACGAUUCCUACAGCAUCAGGCACACCCACCUCCUGAAAGAAUGCAAUCAAUUGAAGAAAAAAGUAAGGAUGUUGCUGAAUGAGAACAGAAAGCUGCUGGUAGAGCAGGCUGACCAGGAGGCAUCCUUUGGUGAAGAAAAGAGUUCUGUGAUGAGACCAGCAAGAACAUACAUCCCAAGUGCAAAGCAGCAGCAGCCUUGCACAGACAUGCUGUCCACCAUGGGCAUGUGGCCUCUAUUUCAGGAUCUAUCCAUGCAGGAGAGUUUGAAGUUUCAUCCCAACACUGGAGUGUAUUGGGCCCGAGAAGCUCUGCUCUGAGAUAGCUGCCAUAGAGAAGAUCAGAUGACCUGGUUCCUAGAUAAUUCCGGAAGUGACAUCCUGAGCCACCUCUCCGUACCAUAGAGCUGAAAGGGGUUGCUGUCAGGGGUCCAGGAACUCCUCUGCCUAGAAGGAAAGCUAGCAGUGACCAACUGGGAGGGGGACAAGAGCAUGUGGCUGGAUUGGAAGUGGCCACGAAGGUCACAUCUGGCCUGGUGUCCUCACCUCCUGACACAGGGGUCUGAGAAUCUCCUGUGAUCCCUGCCAGCAUCCACGAGGCAGGCAAGAGAAAGAGUGCUUUGUGAAGGCCCUGCAGCAGAAGACAGACACAGAAGUGGAACUUCACGAAGAAGCUUGAUCCCAGGGCCCCUGGAGUUUGAGGACCAGUGGAUGGAGUGCCACGAUAAUCCAGAUGACCCAACAGGACCAGCCAAAAUUGGCAUUCUCAGAGCCCUCCUGGAUGCCGAGCAGAUCUUGAUGUAUCUCAGCACUUCUCUGAAGCCUUCCAAACAGGCAGUCUUGCUGGACCAGAGGCUAGACAAAAUAAAGGCCUCAUUACUCAUGCAGCCCAAGAUUGCCAUGGUUACAAGGAUUAGAUGCAAUGGUGGUUAAUUUGCUUUGCACACCCAGUGCUCCUGGUGAACUGUUGUGUCUGAGCAAGAUCUUGACCUGGUCUCUGAUCUGUUUGAGCUUCUGCAGAAUAUUUCAGUCCUACGGGAGGAAGAGAAAAAAAGCCUGGUGAGAUCUUUCCAUGUCCGCGAUCCAUCAAAUACCAGCUUUACUCAGCAGGACAAUCCAGUAUCACUUUUCAUCUGAGAUCUUUCCUGUAUCCCCAUAGGAGAAGGGGAAGAGAGCACCUGGGCCUGGAUGUUAUUCUCAACUGUAAAAAAUUGCUUGACAAUGGAUUGUGAACUACACACUGUGCUGGAGUUAAAGUAAAACACCACAUUUCUCCAAUAGUCUAAAUACUUGAUAUUGAAAAA
Molecule: RNA transcript, 2013 nt
Organism: Mus musculus (house mouse)
Lineage: Eukaryota; Metazoa; Chordata; Mammalia; Rodentia; Muridae
Gene name: predicted gene 8032
Exons: 8
Source: RefSeq, a predicted model, not a curated record